Molecule: ribosomal RNA, 253 nt
Filed under: uncultured bacterium
Lineage: Bacteria
Description: partial 16S ribosomal RNA
Rfam family: Bacterial small subunit ribosomal RNA
Source: RNAcentral
UACAGAGGUCCCAAGCGUUGUUCGGAUUCACUGGGCGUAAAGGGUGCGUAGGUGGUCGGGUAAGUCUGAUGUGAAAUCUCCGAGCUUAACUCGGAAAUGGCAUUGGAUACUAUUUGACUGGAGGGUUGGAGGGGGGACUGGAAUUCUCGGUGUAGCAGUGAAAUGCGUAGAUAUCGAGAGGAACACCAGUGGCGAAGGCGAGUCCCUGGACAACUCCUGACACUGAGGUGCGAAAGCGUGGGGAGCAAACAGG